Molecule: ribosomal RNA, 372 nt
Filed under: uncultured bacterium
Lineage: Bacteria
Description: bacterial SSU rRNA
Rfam family: Bacterial small subunit ribosomal RNA
Source: RNAcentral
AUACGUAAGGACCGAGCGUUGUCCGGAAUCAUUGGGCGUAAAGGGUACGUAGGCGGCUAGAAAAGUUAGAAGUCAAAGGCUAUAGCUCAACUAUAGUAAGCUUCUAAAACUAUUUAGCUUGAGAAAUGGAAGGGAAAGUGGAAUUCCUAGUGUAGCGGUGGAAUGCGCAGAUAUUAGGAAGAAUACCGGUGGCGAAGGCGACUUUCUGGCCAUUAUCUGACGCUGAGGUACGAAAGCGUGGGUAGCAAACAGGAUUAGAUACCCUGGUAGUCCACGCCGUAAACGAUGAGUGUUAGGUGUCUGGAGUCAAAUCUGGGUGCCGCAGCAAACGCAUUAAACACUCCGCCUGGGGAGUACGCACGCAAGUGUGAA